RNAcentral lists this transfer RNA (91 nucleotides) under Clostridiales bacterium. Its description in RNAcentral is "tRNA-Ser". It matches the Rfam family "tRNA". Rfam says of the family: Transfer RNA (tRNA) molecules are approximately 80 nucleotides in length. Their secondary structure includes four short double-helical elements and three loops (D, anti-codon, and T loops). Further hydrogen bonds mediate the characteristic L-shaped molecular structure. tRNAs have two regions of fundamental functional importance: the anti-codon, which is responsible for specific mRNA codon recognition, and the 3' end, to which the tRNAs corresponding amino acid is attached (by aminoacyl-tRNA synthetases). tRNAs cope with the degeneracy of the genetic code in two manners: having more than one tRNA (with a specific anti-codon) for a particular amino acid; and 'wobble' base-pairing, i.e. permitting non-standard base-pairing at the 3rd anti-codon position. The record is from RNAcentral. Lineage: Bacteria; Bacillati; Bacillota; Clostridia; Eubacteriales.
GGAGAGUUGUCCGAGCUGGCCGAAGGAGCACGAUUGGAAAUCGUGUAAACCGUAACAGGUUUCGUGGGUUCAAAUCCCAUGCUCUCCGCCA